AUUGAACGCUGGCGGCAUGCCUUACACAUGCAAGUCGAACGGUAACGGGCCUUCGGGUGCCGACGAGUGGCGAACGGGUGAGUAAUACAUCGGAACGUGCCCGAUCGUGGGGGAUAACGAGGCGAAAGCUUUGCUAAUACCGCAUACGAUCUACGGAUGAACGCAGGGGACCGCAAGGCCUUGCGCGGACGGAGCGGCCGAUGGCAGAUUAGGUAGUUGGUGGGAUAAAAGCUUACCAAGCCGACGAUCUGUAGCUGGUCUGAGAGGAUGAUCAGCCACACGAGAGCUGGGACACGGCCCAUACUCCUACGGGAGGCAGCAGUGGGGAAUUUUGGACAAUGGGCGCAAGCCUGAUCCAGCCAUGCCGCGUGCAGGAUGAAGGCCUUCGGGUUGUAAACUGCUUUUGUACGGAACGAAAAGCCUUCUUUUAAUACAGGAGGGUCAUGACGGUACCGUAAGAAUAAGCACCGGCUAACUACGUG
Molecule: ribosomal RNA, 482 nt
Filed under: uncultured bacterium
Lineage: Bacteria
Description: partial 16S ribosomal RNA
Rfam family: Bacterial small subunit ribosomal RNA
Source: RNAcentral